GGCGGACGGGUGAGUAACACGUAGGAAUCUGCCUUUUUGUGGGGGAUAACCCGGGGAAACUCGGGCUAAUACCGCAUACGCUCUACGGAGGAAAGCGGGGGCUCGCAAGACCUCGCGCAAAGAGAUGAGCCUGCGUCCGAUUAGCUGGUUGGUGGGGUAAAGGCCCACCAAGGCGACGAUCGGUAGCUGGUCUGAGAGGAUGAUCAGCCACACUGGAACUGAGACACGGUCCAGACUCCUACGGGAGGCAGCAGUGGGGAAUAUUGGACAAUGGGCGGAAGCCUGAUCCAGCAAUGCCGCGUGUGUGAAGAAGGCCUGCGGGUUGUAAAGCACUUUAAGCCGGAAAGAAGGGGCGGGAGUUAACACCUCCUGUCAUUGACGUUACCGGCAGAAUAAGCACCGGCUAACUCCGUGCCAGCAGCCGCGGUAAUACGGAGGGUGCGAGCGUUAAUCGGAAUUACUGGGCGUAAAGCGCGCGUAGGCGGUAGGCUAAGUCCGCUGUGAAAGCCCUGGGCUUAACCUGGGAACGGCAGAGGAUACUGGUCGGCUAGAGUGUGGUAGAGGGUGGCGGAAUUUC
Molecule: ribosomal RNA, 577 nt
Filed under: uncultured Methylococcales bacterium
Lineage: Bacteria; Pseudomonadati; Pseudomonadota; Gammaproteobacteria; Methylococcales
Description: bacterial SSU rRNA
Rfam family: Bacterial small subunit ribosomal RNA
Source: RNAcentral